RNAcentral lists this non-coding RNA (27 nucleotides) under Mus musculus (house mouse). Lineage: Eukaryota; Metazoa; Chordata; Mammalia; Rodentia; Muridae. The record is from RNAcentral.
UGGAAGACAGAGUAGCCCAUCAGCAGC